RNAcentral lists this ribosomal RNA (112 nucleotides) under Scytothamnus australis. RNAcentral describes it as "nuclear SSU rRNA". Lineage: Eukaryota; Phaeophyceae; Scytothamnales. The record is from RNAcentral. RNAcentral also lists the same sequence under 1 other name.
GGCGCGGCCGUCCGGCGGGGCUCCUUUACUGGGGCCGUUUGUCUGGUUUUCGGCCGCCCCAUUCUCGGGUAGCGUGUCGCUGGCAUUAGGUUGUCGGCUUCUUCGCGCCCGU